Non-coding RNA from Rattus norvegicus (Norway rat), 762 nucleotides. The record is from RefSeq and is a predicted model, not a curated record. NCBI's taxonomy places the organism in Eukaryota, Metazoa, Chordata, Mammalia, Rodentia, Muridae.
UCUAUCGAUCAUGGUUGGGAGAAAGAAAAUAGCUAAUAGAUCCAGCUUGACUAGAGCUUUCCUCCUCUUUCAGUGCUUCCUCGUGUCUGUAGACUUCCCCUUUUGUCAUGCUUUAUUGGGGAAUUUGCAUUUUUUCUCCUGUGUCUGGGCUACUACUAUGCAUGUUCCUUUGUGUUUAUCUACAGGGUCUCCAGGGAAGGCAUCAUCCCAACCUUCCAGCAUCAGUGAGCAAGUGCAACAGAUUAAGAAGUUUGUAGAAAUUGACUAAGGAGCUCCAGAAGAUGACAUGGUUUGCUGGGAAGGCAUCAUGCCAACCUUUCACCAUCAGUGAGAAAGUACAGCACAUUAAGAAGUUGGAGAAACUGACUAUUGAGCUCAAGAAGAAAACCUAAAAGAAGAAGGUGUGUUUGAAUAACAGUGGAGAUAUGGCAAGCAAUGUGUGAGCUCUCAUCCUGGAUUUUAAUAGAAAAAGAAUGGAUUUUCUGUCCUCAGAGGAACACAGAAAGCUGGUAAGCUACAGAAGCAUAGUAACUUAGACUUAGAUAAGAAAACUUUUGAUUUUUAUUUAUUUUAAAGAUUUAAUUUAUUUUAUUUUUAAGAGUAUACUUUACUUGUCAGACACACCAGAAGAGGGCAUCAGAUGACAUUAUAGAUGAUUGUAUGCCAUGAUGUGUACACUUGGAAUUGAACUCAUGACCUUUGGAAAAAACAGGCAGUACUCUUAAUUGCUGAAUAAUCUUCCCAGCCUAAACUAUUUCUCCU